RNAcentral lists this ribosomal RNA (269 nucleotides) under Pandora neoaphidis. Its description in RNAcentral is "partial small subunit ribosomal RNA". It matches the Rfam family "Bacterial small subunit ribosomal RNA", at positions 441 to 780 of the family's 1533-position model. The record is from RNAcentral. Lineage: Eukaryota; Fungi; Entomophthoromycota; Entomophthoromycetes; Entomophthorales; Entomophthoraceae.
AAAGAAAAAAGAAAAGAAUGAUAGAAGUUUUUCAUUAAAUCCUGACUAAUUUCGUGCCAGCAGUCGCGGUAAUACGUGAAGGAUAAGCGUAAUUCAUAAUAACUAGGUAUUAAGUGUCUGUAGGCGGCGAGAGCUAGAGUCUGACUAGGAAAUUGAAAUUUGAUAAGGAAGGAUAAAAUCUGUUGAUAUAUUAAAGAAUACUAUGCGAAGGCAUUUUUCUAUGAAGGACUGACGCUAAGAGACUAAAGUGUGGGUAGCGAAAAGGAUUA